Molecule: ribosomal RNA, 460 nt
Filed under: uncultured bacterium
Lineage: Bacteria
Description: partial 16S ribosomal RNA
Rfam family: Bacterial small subunit ribosomal RNA
Source: RNAcentral
CCUACGGGAGACAGCAGUGAGGAAUAUUGGUCAAUGGACGAGAGUCUGAACCAGCCAAGUAGCGUGAAGGAUGACUGCCCUAUGGGUUGUAAACUUCUUUUAUAUGGGAAUAAAAUGUUCCACGUGUGGGAUUUUGUAUGUACCAUAUGAAUAAGGAUAGGCUAACUCCGUGCCAGCAGCCGCGGUAAUACGGAGGAUCCGAGCGUUAACCGGAUUUAUUGGGUUUAAAGGGAGCGUAGGUGGAUUGUUAAGUCAGUUGUGAAAGUUUGCGGCUCAACCGUAAAAUUGCAGUUGAAACUGGCAGUCUUGAGUAAAGUAGAGGUGGGCGGAAUUCGAGGUGUAGCGGUGAAAUGCUUAGAUAUCACGAAGAACACCGAUUGCGAAGGCAGUUCACUGGACUUCAACUGACACUGAGGCUCGAAAGUGUGGGUAUCAAACAGGAUUAGAUACCCGAGUAGUC